RNAcentral lists this long non-coding RNA (923 nucleotides) under Fragaria vesca (wild strawberry). Its description in RNAcentral is "long non-coding RNA (FVES_LNC005060)". Lineage: Eukaryota; Viridiplantae; Streptophyta; Magnoliopsida; Rosales; Rosaceae. The record is from RNAcentral.
AAAAAUGUAGGAGAACGUCGAAGUUUGUCAUUCAUUAUCAUUAGACCCAUAUAAGAGUAUUGUUUACAUGACAUGGACAUAACUAAUGAGUAUUUGAGUGGACAGACACAUAUACAUAAUUUACAACAUAUCACCUUGGAUGUCCACCAAUGACAGAUAUGGUGUUGGACGCGCUUAUUGUUGCCUCGUUAAAAACUUUUUAAGGUAAUAACAACUAUUUGAAAAAAAAAAAACAACAUAAUUGAAGAACGAAAAGAGUGCAAUGUGCAUACGUGUUUGGUAACAUAAUCUUGAAUCCUCCCCUUCCUGAGAAUCUCCUUGUGAUUGAUGCAAGCUAAAAUAUCAUGUAAUUGGUAAAAUACAUAUCUCAUGUAUAGUAGAUGUUGUGUGUUGAUCACAGAAGUGAAGCUUUGCAUAAAAAAGGGACUCAUCAUGAAUUUCCAAUCCUAGAAAAGUUGAGCAAGAGCAACUCCAACAGUUUCCACAUAAUCCAACUCCUUCUCUAAAAUUUGAGAGUUUACUGCAAAUAUGAGGAAUAUGGUUUUCUCUCUCAUGCCCCAUUUUGGAGAAAGUUUUAGGGAACCUGUUAGGCCAAAACAACCAAAAUCUUCUCCAAAAUUGAGAAAAUCAAAAAUAUGGGGAAGUUGUUUGAGUUGCUCUAAUAACAACAAAACUAUGAUAUUCUCAGUGAAAGCUUACUUCACAUGAUAAGAGAGUUGAACCAUUUUAUGUUCUAAUUAUAGAUAAAGAAAUUAGCUAAAGAGUAAAUAUAUAAGGAUCAAGGUUCUAAAAAACGGCCUAGGCGGCCGCCUGGGCGCCCGGAGAAGGGUUACCAUCCCGAUUUUAGGCAAAUCGGCGGGUCUAGGCGGCUGGCCGUUUUUUGGCCGCCUGGGCGACGCCUAGGCGGCUGGGCGGGCGCCUAG